AAUAACAAAUGAACAAUAAUAAUUAAAUAAGUCCACUUCCUUUGGCUGAGGUGUUGUAUAAUAGCCUGAUGGUAGUGGGAACAAAGGAUCUCCUGAACCUCUCUGUUCUGCAGCACAGUGAGAUCAGACGUUUGCUGCGCCUGUAGCUGCUUCUCUGUUCUGCCAGAAUUUUUUGGAGAGGAUGGUUGGUAUUGUCUAAGAUGGCCUCCAUCUUAUAUUGCAUACGUCCCUCCACAACAGUCCUCCUGCCAAGCACAGGCCCAGCCUUUUUGACCAGUUUUGACCUUCUUGUCCAGUCUCUUUGUGUUCAUGUCUGACAUGCUGCUGCCCCAGCAGUCCAGCUUGUCUUUAUGAAUGGGGAAUUAAGACAAAUAAGACAGAAACCCCAGCACUGGCAAGUCAGGGCAAUACUACAUCUACGCCAAGUAAGCAUCCAGGUCUUUUUAGUCAUCCAUCAUCAACAAUUGGAGGAGAAUCUGAUGGUUAGUUUGUUUUUCAUUUCUAACUUACAGAUGACUCAGUGCCAAUGUCAACACUACCAAUAUGUACACACAAUAGUGUAUGAGGUGAUAAAACCCUAUCACAUGAAAUGACUAUGCUUUCUCUGCUUAUGACAUUCCAUUCUAUAGCUGGGAUAUGUGUAUAAACCUGCUGCACACGCAACAGAGUUAUUUGGUGAUACUGAAAUGCUAGUAGGGAUCUCAACAGGGAUGACUGGAGUUGGACCACUUGCCUGAGGAUCAAGCUUUGGAAGAAACGUGUGUUGUAUAAUGACUAGACAUUACCCCAUUAUCGCCACAAUGAACCCCCAUUUGUGAUUCUACAUUGUGUUAUUGUCUUUUUGUAUUGUGUGAUAUGUACUCACAAUUGUUUUGUGUUAAGCAUCAAGUCCAUGGACAUUUUGGAGGACUGUAGUGGAUGAGGAAAAGGCGAACAGCUUUAUGAACAGUGUAAUUGAUUUGGACAAUGAACCGGCUUUAGACCCGUCAGAUGUUUACUAUGUCCCACCUAUCCGUGUGCGUGCUGCUGGUGGAUUACAGAAGGUCAUGAACAUGGCUCAAUGGACAUAAUGUGGUGACAGUGGGUAAGAGACAGACCAACCGAAACAGUGUGACCAUGGAGAAGCAAUUGCAGAUUUCAGCACUGAUGAGUGAGUAUAUAUUGAAGAAUUUUUUUAUUUGCCAUUUGUAACAAGUGUAAUUACUGGUACGGAGCCAGAACAGUCCCCUGUGGAGCCCCAGUGCUACUCAUCACUGUCCCUGAGACACAAGCCUGACGUACUGUGGUCAACUUGUCAGGCAUUCCACAAUCAACGACGUGAAGCAGGGAUCCACCCCCAUCCCUUCCAGCUUGUCUUUAAGAAUAGGGGGUUGGAUGGUGUAAAAUGCACUUGAGAAAUCAAAGAACAUAAUCCUCAUGUAACCACCUGGCUCAUCCAGGUAAGAAUGGGCCCAGUGGAGCAUGUAAAAGACGGCAUCAUCCACUCCAGUAUGUUCAUUGUAGGCAAACUGGGAGGUUUAGUGCAUGUUCAACCUGUGGCUUCAGAAGGUGGAGAAGCAGCCGCUCCAGGGUCUUCAUGAUUUGUGAUGUGAGGGCCACCGGUCUGUAGUCAUUUAUCUCAGCCGGUUGCCCUACUUUAGGUACCAGAACAAGACGUGAUGUUUUUCACAGGACCGGGACCCUCCCUGUUUGUAAACUUAAGUUGAAGGUCCUCUGGAGGGGCUCAUCCAGCUGGGCUGCACAGUCCUUUAACAGCCUCGGCCACACAAAGUGUAAAAUUUAUUUUUACAUGUACUUACCAAAUUUGGUUACAAAGGACUUGAAAUAUUUGUGUCUUUGUGUAUUUCUUUAUUCUGGACCCGGAGAAAGGGAUGUACAAGGAUCGAGGUGUGAUCCAUUCACUGGACAUCUGAAAUGCAGCCAAAAAUCUGACAAAGAAACUUCAUGUGGCUGGGGUGAUAUCUGGUCAGUCUGCCAUACUGGUCUGGAUGAGGUACAUUGUUAACCAUUUUUGUUUUUGCCGCCAGAAGGCGGACAAUCGAGAGGAGUUCAUGGUGAGUAUAAUGGGAUUUCACAAGACAAUACAACCACCACAAGGACAGACAAAUACUUUGAAAUGAAGUGUGGCUCAGCUGUCAUCAGUUCAUCUUGUAUUGAUUCACUGCAUUCAGGGCAGGGAGCUCUUGCAUUACAUUCAUUUAGCUUACGCUUUUAUCCAAAGCAACUUUUACAGUAAGGGUCUUGACAUUCUGCAUGCUAAGUGUCAUACGAUUCUUUCUUUGCAUUAUGUACAGUACAUCAAAUUACCACUGAAGUAAAUCCUCACCCACUGAAAUGUGUACUACUACAGCAAUUGCUAGCUAAGCUAGCUACUGCUCUUGGUGGUGGAUGAGCAUGUAUGUCACACAGCAUUAUUACUUCUACUGAAAAUGCCAUUUUAUUUUAGGGUAUGUGGCAAGGGGUGCUUUACCAUGUCACAGGCAUGCAUGAAUGGGACCUUGGCAGAUGUCAACAUCCAGCCUGGGAUGUGGCGAGCCGUGAGAGAGACCACAUUUGAUAUCUAUAUGUCAACCAGAAAGUUUCGUAGGUCAUACGUAUGAAAACAUAUUUUAUUUUUUGUAUGCCUGAAGAAUUAUGAGGAGAGUUCAACAAGUUCACUAGAGAAUGAUGCCACCACUGAUAUGGGAAUGCCACACAGUAAAUUGUCACUGCCAACUAAUGUUAAACUUGUUGUCUUUCAGAGAGUGUACAGCAAGAAGUCCAAACGUUAGUGUCCACAUAGUAAAAGCUGCCAGGGUGUGUGUGUGUGUGUGUGUGUGUGUGUGUGUCUCUCUCUCUCUCUCUCUCUCUCUCUCUCUCUCUCUCUCUCUCUCUCUCUCUCUCUCUCUCUCUCUCUCUCUCUCUCUCUCUCUCUCUCUCUCUCUCUCUCUCUCUCUCUCUAGCACAUGACUGCAUAACAGACAAUGGGAGCAAGAAAAAUUCCUCAGAACAUGGCUUAGACAGUCCUUUAUUAUAAAUAUUUAUUGAUGGACUUGUAAAACAUUAAAUAUACAGUAUAUACAGACAUUGUAAAACUUGUAAAAAGAUAUGACAUUGAAAAAAAUGUGAAUUUUAGUUUAAAAUUUUUUAAAUGAAAGUUUUUAAAAUAAAGCUGCUUGUAUAAAAAAAUGAAAAGGUCGUUUUUCUUUAUAGUUAAUGAACUCACGCCGGAACACAACACAUUUUCACACAUGCUUUUUUUUUCUUUCACAACAAACUUUUUUACUUUGUCCUUGUCCUCCACCCUCUAGCAUCAGUGUCUCUGCUUUCAUCUAGUAGAGCUGCUGCAUAGCCUUUAGAAAGGGAAACCUGAAAGGAAAACAGUGACAGUGUAGAAAAUGGCAUGUUUUAUUGUGAUACAUUCCCUAUUUUAUGUAUGCUGAUUGACAGUAACAGUAAAAUAAACAAGUGUAUGUAUAGGUUACAACAAAGUAAACCACUAGAAACUAGACAGUUACAAGAUGUUUUUUUUCAGAACACAUAACUCUGUCAUUACCUGCACAGGUUGUAAAGCCACCUGAGACCAAUUGAUUUGUGAAUUUGAGCUAUAUGAAUAACAUUUUAUUGAUUUGCUGUUAUAAUUGAUGUCAGUUUAGGACUGUCGUUGUCUCUACAAACUCCAAGACCAAUUCAAUACAGUUAGUUGAAAGUAAGUCUGUAUUUUGCUGAAACAUUAGCGCAUCUAUUCAGCUAAAUGAGAGUUGCAAUUGAAACUCGUGUCAAUAGUGAAGUGUGGCAACGCUAUAAUAGGGCUAUAAUAUUCCAUGCAAUCUCGUGCAGUGUUGCUGUUUUGGUCGAUGCGUGCUCAUGCCCAAGGAUUGCGAGCACAACCAUGAGAGCGAGCAACAGAAGGCUGACUGCACUGUCACUUCACUGCCACAAAUGUCACUAAAAACAACCAAUUUUGGGAUCUUAUCUAAUGCCCCUUUAAUAGUGAAGGAGAUCAACAGACAGACAGAAUACGUAAUUUAGUUUGGUUUCUUAUCCUGCUGUUUUUAUGGUUGUUAAUAGAACGUUUGGACAGUCAAUGAGGAGAGAGGCGAACAAAACGGAACACACUUGUUUCUUUUUUUCAAAGGGUAACGUAAAGUGCUCUCUCUCGUCAGUCUGACUAACAGGAUGAUAACUGAUUUGUCUUUGGUCAUUUUGAUUCACUGAUGCCUAAAAAAGUCCUAACAUGCCCCUGUAUAUUUGUCUGUGAUAGAAAUACUUAAAACUCUUAGUACACAUCAACAUCUGCCACUUUGCAGAAGAAAAAAAUACAGUACUACACAUUUUUUUAUAAAUAAUGCAUACAUACAGUACUGUGCAAAGGUUUUAGGCAGGUGUGAAAAAAUGCUGUAAACUAAGAAUGCUUUCAAAAAUGGAAGUGUUAAUAGUUUAUGUUCAUCAAUUAACAAAAUGCAGUUAAUGAACAGAAGAGAAAUCUAAAUCAAAUCAACAUUUGGUGUGACCACCUUUUCCCUUCAAAACAGCAUCAAUUUUUCUAGGUACACUUGCUCACAGUUUUUGAAGGAACUCGGCUGGUAGGUUGUUCCAAACAUCUUGGAGAACUAACCACAGAUCUUCUGUGCAUUCUUAGUUUACAGCAUUUUUUCACACCUGCCUAAAGCUUGCACAGUAUUGUAUAUCUGAGUUUUUAUUCAACAUAGAACAUAUGAAUCAUACAACUUGGAGGAGAUGCUUAUAUAAUUACUCUUAUUUUAAUACAUUUUUUUACAUACCUGUUCCAAACCUUAUGAGAUGUAUUUUUUCUUCAUUGUUCAUAACAGAAUUCCUUAUACAUUAACAUAAGAAGCACAUUAUUCAGUACCAUACCAAUCCUACCGUCCCUAAAUUAACAUUCCUAUCACUAGCAUUUAAAGCUUAAGCCUAUAUGAUAGCACGAAAUAAAACAAACAAGUGCAGUGUUUC
Molecule: long non-coding RNA, 4953 nt
Organism: Seriola aureovittata
Lineage: Eukaryota; Metazoa; Chordata; Actinopteri; Carangiformes; Carangidae
Exons: 4
Source: RefSeq, a predicted model, not a curated record